This 301-nucleotide ribosomal RNA is filed under the name uncultured bacterium. Its description in RNAcentral is "partial 16S ribosomal RNA". It matches the Rfam family "Bacterial small subunit ribosomal RNA", at positions 509 to 809 of the family's 1533-position model. The record is from RNAcentral.
CAGCCGCCACGGGAAUACGGAGGGUGCUAGCGUUAAUCGGAAUUACUGGGCGUAAAGCGCACGCAGGCGGUCUGACAAGUCAGAUGUGAAAUCCCCGGGCUUAACCUGGGAACUGCAUUUGAAACUGUCAGGCUGGAGUCUUGUAGAGGGGGGUGGAAUUCCAGGUGUAGCGGUGAAAUGCGUAGAGAUCUGGAGGAAUACCGGUGGCGAAGGCGGCCCCCUGGACAAAGACUGACGCUCAUGUGCGAAAGCGUGGGGAGCAAACAGGAUUAGAUACCCGUGUAGUCCCUGUCUCUUAUAA